This 26-nucleotide small RNA is filed under the name Bombyx mori (domestic silkworm). RNAcentral describes it as "ovarian small RNA-36032". Lineage: Eukaryota; Metazoa; Arthropoda; Insecta; Lepidoptera; Bombycidae. The record is from RNAcentral.
UGUUAUAAACGAACAUAUCCUUAAGU